GAUGAACGCUAGCGGCAGGCCUAACACAUGCAAGUCGAGGGGUAUAUGGUGUUUACAUCAUAGAGACCGGCGCACGGGUGCGUAACGCGUAUGCAAUCUACCUUUUACCGGAGUAUAGCCCGGAGAAAUCCGGAUUAAUCCUCCAUAGUAUUUUAAAUUGGCAUCGAUUUUAAAUUAAAGCUUAUUGUGGUAAGAGAUGAGCAUGCGUCUUAUUAGCUUGUUGGUAUGGUAAGGGCAUACCAAGGCAACGAUAAGUAGGGGUCCUGAGAGGGAGAUCCCCCACACUGGUACUGAGACACGGACCAGACUCCUACGGGAGGCAGCAGUGAGGAAUAUUGGACAAUGGGCGAGAGCCUGAUCCAGCCAUGCCGCGUGCAGGAGACAGCCCUACGGGUUGUAAACUGCUUUUUUGCAGAGGAAGAAUAAGGGGUACGUGUACCCUGAUGACGGUACUCUGCGAAUAAGCAUCGGCUAACUCCGUG
Molecule: ribosomal RNA, 482 nt
Filed under: uncultured bacterium
Lineage: Bacteria
Description: bacterial SSU rRNA
Rfam family: Bacterial small subunit ribosomal RNA
Source: RNAcentral